UACGGAGGGGGCUAGCGUUGUUCGGAAUUACUGGGCGUAAAGCGCACGUAGGCGGCUUUGUAAGUUAGAGGUGAAAGCCUGAUGCUCAACAUCAGAAUUGCCUUAAGACUGCAUCGCUUGAACGUCGGAGAGGUAAGUGGAAUUCCGAGUGUAGAGGUGAAAUUCGCAGAUAUUCGGAAGAACACCAGUGGCGAAGGCGGCUUACUGGACGACUGUUGACGCUGAGGUGCGAAAGCGUGGGGAGCAAACAGGG
Molecule: ribosomal RNA, 253 nt
Filed under: uncultured bacterium
Lineage: Bacteria
Description: partial 16S ribosomal RNA
Rfam family: Bacterial small subunit ribosomal RNA
Source: RNAcentral